Molecule: transfer RNA, 25 nt
Filed under: Zygia sp. KGD-2009
Lineage: Eukaryota; Viridiplantae; Streptophyta; Magnoliopsida; Fabales; Fabaceae
Description: partial tRNA-Phe
Source: RNAcentral
GUCGGGAUAGCUCAGCCUGGUAAAG